This 491-nucleotide ribosomal RNA is filed under the name Vibrio diazotrophicus. RNAcentral describes it as "bacterial SSU rRNA". It matches the Rfam family "Bacterial small subunit ribosomal RNA", at positions 167 to 642 of the family's 1533-position model. The record is from RNAcentral. Lineage: Bacteria; Pseudomonadati; Pseudomonadota; Gammaproteobacteria; Vibrionales; Vibrionaceae.
UACCGCAUGAUAUCUUCGGCUCAAAGAGGGGGACCUUCGGGCCUCUCGCGUCAGGAUAUGCCCAGGUGGGAUUAGCUAGUUGGUGAGGUAAUGGCUCACCAAGGCGACGAUCCCUAGCUGGUCUGAGAGGAUGAUCAGCCACACUGGAACUGAGACACGGUCCAGACUCCUACGGGAGGCAGCAGUGGGGAAUAUUGCACAAUGGGCGCAAGCCUGAUGCAGCCAUGCCGCGUGUGUGAAGAAGGCCUUCGGGUUGUAAGCACUUUCAGUCGUGAGGAAGGUGGUGUUGUUAAUAGCACCAUCAUUUGACGUUAGCGACAGAAGAAGCACCGGCUAACUCCGUUGCCAGCAGCCGCGGUAAUACGGAGGGUGCGAGCGUUUAAUCGGAAAUUACUGGGGCGUAAAAGCGCAUGCAGGGGGUUUUGUUAAGUCAAAUGUGAAAAGCCCCGGGGCUCCACCCUCGUAAUACCCAUUUUGAAAACUGGCAAGCU